GCCCUUGUAGCUCAGUUGGUAGAGCAUCUGAUUUGUAAUCAGAGGGUCGGGCGUUCGAGUCGCUCCGGGGGCACCA
Molecule: transfer RNA, 76 nt
Filed under: Phyllobacterium sp. CL33Tsu
Lineage: Bacteria; Pseudomonadati; Pseudomonadota; Alphaproteobacteria; Hyphomicrobiales; Phyllobacteriaceae
Description: tRNA_Thr_TGT
Rfam family: tRNA
About the family: Transfer RNA (tRNA) molecules are approximately 80 nucleotides in length. Their secondary structure includes four short double-helical elements and three loops (D, anti-codon, and T loops). Further hydrogen bonds mediate the characteristic L-shaped molecular structure. tRNAs have two regions of fundamental functional importance: the anti-codon, which is responsible for specific mRNA codon recognition, and the 3' end, to which the tRNAs corresponding amino acid is attached (by aminoacyl-tRNA synthetases). tRNAs cope with the degeneracy of the genetic code in two manners: having more than one tRNA (with a specific anti-codon) for a particular amino acid; and 'wobble' base-pairing, i.e. permitting non-standard base-pairing at the 3rd anti-codon position.
Source: RNAcentral